RNAcentral lists this long non-coding RNA (237 nucleotides) under Micromonas commoda. RNAcentral describes it as "long non-coding RNA (MCOM_LNC000168)". Lineage: Eukaryota; Viridiplantae; Chlorophyta; Mamiellophyceae; Mamiellales; Mamiellaceae. The record is from RNAcentral.
CUCGACGUCGACCUCCACAUCGACGAAAACAACAACCCGGAUUGUUGCGGCGUUCGCGUGCUGUGCGGCGCCCUCGAACGCGCGCGCGAACGCGGGUACGACGGGUCCGUGGUGCUCGGGCACGUCACGUCGCUGGCGCUACAAACGACGGAGGUUCAGGCGGAGGUGGUCGCCAGGCUCGCGAAGCUCGCGCCCGUGCACGUGGUGUGCAACCCGUUCACCAACCUCGGUUUGCAG